AGCCCCGUACACAAAAGCGCAUGUGCUGUGAGCUCGAUGAGUAGGGCGGGACACGUGGUAUCCUGUCUGAAUAUGGGGGGACCAUCCUCCAAGGCUAAAUACUCCUGACUGACCGAUAGUGAACCAGUACCGUGAGGGAAAGGCGAAAAGAACCCCGGCGAGGGGAGUGAAAAAGAACCUGAAACCGUGUACGUACAAGCAGUGGGAGCACAGGUUUACCUGUGUGACUGCGUACCUUUUGUAUAAUGGGUCAGCGACUUAUAUUCUGUAGCAAGGUUAACCGAAUAGGGGAGCCGGAGGGAAACCGAGUCUUAAUUGGGCGUUAAGUUGCAGGGUAUAGACCCGAAACCCGGUGAUCUAGCCAUGGGCAGGUUGAAGGUUGGGUAACACUAACUGGAGGACCGAACCGACUAAUGUUGAAAAAUUAGCGGAUGACCUGUGGCUGGGGGUGAAAGGCCAAUCAAACCGGGAGAUAGCUGGUUCUCCCCGAAAGCUAUUUAGGUAGCGCCUCGUGAAUUCAUCUCCGGGGGUAGAGCACUGUUUCGGCUAGGGGGCCAUCCCGGCUUACCAACCCGAUGCAAACUGCGAAUACCGGAGAAUGUUAUCACGGGAGACACACGGCGGGUGCUAACGUCCGUCGUGAAGAGGGAAACAACCCAGACCGCCAGCUAAGGUCCCAAAGUCAUGGUUAAGUGGGAAACGAUGUGGGAAGGCCCAGACAGCCAGGAUGUUGGCUUAGAAGCAGCCAUCAUUUAAAGAAAGCGUAAUAGCUCACUGGUCGAGUCGGCCUGCGCGGAAGAUGUAACGGGGCUAAACCAU
This 819-nucleotide ribosomal RNA is filed under the name Salmonella enterica. RNAcentral describes it as "partial 23S ribosomal RNA". It matches the Rfam family "Bacterial large subunit ribosomal RNA", at positions 369 to 1190 of the family's 2925-position model. RNAcentral also lists the same sequence under 1 other name. The record is from RNAcentral. Lineage: Bacteria; Pseudomonadati; Pseudomonadota; Gammaproteobacteria; Enterobacterales; Enterobacteriaceae.